This 284-nucleotide unclassified non-coding RNA is filed under the name uncultured fungus. RNAcentral's name for it is "partial contains small subunit ribosomal RNA, internal transcribed spacer 1, and 5.8S ribosomal RNA". The stretch from base 1 to 73 matches the Rfam family "Eukaryotic small subunit ribosomal RNA", at positions 1759 to 1831 of the family's 1831-position model. Lineage: Eukaryota; Fungi. The record is from RNAcentral.
GCAAACUUGGUCAUUUAGAGGAAGUAAAAGUCGUAACAAGGUUUCCGUAGGUGAACCUGCGGAAGGAUCAUUAAUGAGAUUAACUGAGCUGUUGCUAAUCUUUGGAUUGUGCACGCUCAGAUUUCAAUCCAUUCACACCUUUGUGCACUUCUGCGCAGAAUUAAGACUUCGGUCUUUUCUGUGACUUUAUACAUACUACUUGAUCUUAAAGAACGAGUUAUAACUUAAAUAUAACAACUUUCAACAACGGAUCUCUUGGCUCUCGCAUCGAUGAAGAACGCAGC